AGCGAAGCGGUUUAGAUACUGUAGGAUUAUGCUUAAAUACGCAGAAAUGCCCAGCCAUGGACGGCUGGGCAAGGCGUUAUGCGCCAUGGACGGUGCAUAAAAGCCGGUUUCGUCAAGCAUAGAAAAUCUUUAGACAUAAUCCGUACAGAAUCUUAACUGCGAAGC
This 165-nucleotide non-coding RNA is filed under the name Agathobacter rectalis. The record is from RNAcentral. Lineage: Bacteria; Bacillati; Bacillota; Clostridia; Lachnospirales; Lachnospiraceae.